UACGUAGGGCGCAAGCGUUUGUCCGGAAUUAUUGGGCGUAAAGAGCUCGUAGGCGGUCUGUUGCGUCCGCUGUGAAAACUCGGGGCUUAACCCCGAGCCUGCAGUGGAUACGGGCAGACUAGAGGUAGGUAGGGGAGAAUGGAAUUCCCGGUGUAGCGGUGAAAUGGCGCAGAUAUCGGGAGGAACACCAGUAGCGAAGGCGGCUCGCUGGGCCAUUCCUGACGCUGAGACGCGAAAAGCUAGGGGAGCGAACGAGG
RNAcentral lists this ribosomal RNA (257 nucleotides) under uncultured bacterium. RNAcentral's name for it is "partial 16S ribosomal RNA". It matches the Rfam family "Bacterial small subunit ribosomal RNA", at positions 524 to 777 of the family's 1533-position model. The record is from RNAcentral.